RNAcentral lists this long non-coding RNA (1163 nucleotides) under Drosophila guanche. Lineage: Eukaryota; Metazoa; Arthropoda; Insecta; Diptera; Drosophilidae. The record is from RNAcentral.
CGUGGAUUUGUGUAGUUCUCGUGUGCUCCUCCGUAGUGUGUGCUGCCCCGUCCGUCGUCGUCGAGUCGUCGAGUCGCCCGCCGUCGUCGAGUCGCGUCGUUGUUGUCGUCGUUGUCGUCGCUGUGGGUCGUGCACUAGCAGCAACAGCAGCCGUAGCACCCGUAGCCGUCUCCGCCGCAGCAGCAGCAGCAGCAUCGCCGUACGCCGUAAGCCGUAAUUUACUACAAAAACGGAAAUGAAUAGCGUGGAAAACAAGUGUUGAAUAUCCCAUAUCCCCGAAUGUAUAAAACAAAUAAAGAAGAGCGAGCGACCCAUCUUUUCGGUAAUUGUUGAAUGUUUGACCCAGUGAUACGGCCAGCAGAUUUCCGCCACACCAAAAGAAAAAGUGUUGCACGUGUGGCAGGAACGAGAGACUCUGUCCUACUCCUACCCCAUAUCAAGUGUUGUGUGUUGCUGUGUUGUUAUGCAAAUCGCGUACGUCGUUUGAGGCAGCGGCAACAAUAACUGGGCUACAGCAAGCAGAGAGAAAAGAGAGUGUAAGAGAGAGAGAGACGGAGAGACGGAGAGACGGAGAAGUGGGUGUGUGAGUGAGUGUGUGAGUGCUAAGAGUGUGUGUGUGUAUGUGUGUGCGUACGCGCCCACAAUGCAUAAAUCAAAAAUACACAUUAUUGAGUCAUAAAUAAAGUUCCACGAGACGAAAAAGCAACGUUGCCAGCACCGAAGCCACCGCCACCGCCAACGCCAACGCCAGCGCCGCUCUCCCUUUGCUUUUGCUCUGCUCUGCUCCUCCGCCUUCGCGUUGCUACUUUAAAUAAAGCCCAAGGCGACUCUCCCCUCUCCACCCUCACAUUCACACACAUAUACCAAAUUUAUGCCUUCUCGCACUCUGGCCAUAUUUUUUGCUCAAUUGCUUUCGCAGCGCUAUUGAUCCUGAGAUCAGGAGCGGGAGCCUCAGCGCAGAGUUCUCCGCUGAUAUGAUGUGUGCCUCGUUGCCGCCGUUUGCUGCAUAAAACUUGCUCAAUUUUCUACACGCCCUCAAAAACAACAAUAAGAAACAGCAGCAACAGCAGCAGCCAGUUGCCUCUGCUCUCCAUAGAACCCCUUCGGGCACUGCUGCUUCUUUUAUUACAAAGGCCGUAAAAAACGCCAAAAAGUGGAGCGCC